GCAAGUCGAACGCGAAGGGGACGUUCGGUCCUGAGUAAAGUAGGCGGCGCGGGUGAGUAACGCGUAGAUAACCUGUCUUCAUGUCUGGAAUAAUACGCCGAAAGGGGUACUAAUACCGGAUAUUCUUGCUUUUCAUAAGUUAUGCAAGCAAAGGUGGCCUCUGCAUAUGCUACUGCAUGAAGAGGGGUCUGCGUACCAUUAGCUAGUAGGUGGGGUAAUGGCCUACCUAGGCGACGAUGGUUAGCGGGUCUGAGAGGAUGAUCCGCCACACUGGCACUGGAACACGGGCCAGACUCCUACGGGAGGCAGCAGUGAGGAAUAUUGCGCAAUGGGGGAAACCCUGACGCAGCGACGCCGCGUGAGUGAAGGAAGGCCUUCGGGUCGUAAAGCUCUGUCAAGAGGAAAGAAGUGUACAAUGGCUAAUACCUGUUGUAUUUGACGGUACCUCUAAAGGAAGCACCGGCUAACUCCGUGCCAGCCGCAGC
This 485-nucleotide ribosomal RNA is filed under the name uncultured bacterium. RNAcentral describes it as "bacterial SSU rRNA". It matches the Rfam family "Bacterial small subunit ribosomal RNA", at positions 57 to 518 of the family's 1533-position model. The record is from RNAcentral.